RNAcentral lists this ribosomal RNA (198 nucleotides) under uncultured bacterium. RNAcentral describes it as "partial 16S ribosomal RNA". It matches the Rfam family "Bacterial small subunit ribosomal RNA", at positions 337 to 522 of the family's 1533-position model. The record is from RNAcentral.
UCCUACGGGAGGCGAGCAGGUAGGGGUAAGUUUUGGACAAUGGGCGCAAGCCUGAUCCAGCAAUGCCGCGUGAGUGAAGAAGGCCUUCGGGUUGUAAAGCUCUUUUGUCAGGGAAGAAACGGUUUGGGCUAAUACCCGUUUCACUUGACGGUACCCUCAAAGGAAGCACCGGCUAACUACGUGCCAGCAGCCGCGGUA